UCUCUGGUGGUCUAGUAGCUAGAAUUCGGCGCUUUCACCGCCGCGGCCCGGGUUCGAUUCCCGGUCAGGGAA
RNAcentral lists this transfer RNA (72 nucleotides) under Gorilla gorilla gorilla (western lowland gorilla). RNAcentral describes it as "tRNA-Glu (TTC) (tRNA-Glu-TTC-5-1)". It matches the Rfam family "tRNA". Rfam says of the family: Transfer RNA (tRNA) molecules are approximately 80 nucleotides in length. The record is from Rfam by way of RNAcentral. Lineage: Eukaryota; Metazoa; Chordata; Mammalia; Primates; Hominidae.